GUGCCAGCAGCCGCGGUAAUACCGGCAGCCCGAGUGAUGGCCGAUAUUAUUGGGCCUAAAGCGUCCGUAGCUGGCCGAACAAGUCCGUCGGGAAAUCCGCCCGCUCAACGGGCGGCCGUCCGGCGGAAACUGCACAGCUUGGGACCGGAAGGCUCGAAGGGUACGUCCGGGGUAGGAGUGAAAUCCCGUAAUCCUGGACGGACCACCGAUGGCGAAAGCACCUUGGAAGGACGGAUCCGACAGUGAGGGAUGAAAGCUAGGGUCUCGAACCGGAUUAGAAACCCCAGUAGUCC
This 293-nucleotide ribosomal RNA is filed under the name uncultured bacterium. Its description in RNAcentral is "partial 16S ribosomal RNA". It matches the Rfam family "Archaeal small subunit ribosomal RNA", at positions 455 to 747 of the family's 1478-position model. The record is from RNAcentral.